This 4920-nucleotide long non-coding RNA is filed under the name Gossypium barbadense (sea-island cotton). RNAcentral describes it as "long non-coding RNA (GBAR_LNC022334)". Lineage: Eukaryota; Viridiplantae; Streptophyta; Magnoliopsida; Malvales; Malvaceae. The record is from RNAcentral.
UUAUUGAAUUUAAAUUCAAGUCACAAAAGGAAAAUUAUCUUUGUCCAAGCUGGCCAAGUAAUUCGCUCAAACCAGUACACAUAAUUAAUCAAACCCUAAUAAAAGUACUUCAAAGAAGCAAACAACGCAUAAAGACAGGUAGUUUCCUCCGUUCCUCCUUUAGUCCACCAAAGGUGCAAAAUUUAGAUUUCAUCUCUAUCUCUUGAAUUAAUAUCCGACUACAUGUUUGCAGAGAUACAAGCAAAUACACAAAUAACAAGUAUCUCUCUUUCAGGCAUUAACUCCCUACUUUUUAACAUAAUCCCUACCCCCGUAAAUUAAAAAAAAAAAAAACCCCCCACGCCCGGUGCUGUCACCAUUAACAAGCAUAAAGUCUCGUAAAAAGUCACUUCCUUCAUAUUCACAAAACAGAGAUUAACCCUACCUUGCAAAUGAAAAUGGUUGUUUUAUGACAAUUGUUUCAUUUCAUCCUUCCCAUAUAUACGCUGAAGUUCAAGAGUGGCAGCUAAAAACGAAUCUGAAAAAAGAAAGAGGUGCAAAGUAGACAUGUCAAUUGUAUCCCAUCUCAAAAACUCCAUCCGAUCAACCUAAACCAAAACCAAACCCAAACCCGAUUUGACCAUAAAAAGUCAACAACAUGAACCCAUCCAACCACACCCAAAAAUGACUCAAACCCAAUCUGAAAUUGACUUAACAAAAAUGACCCUGACAUUUUAAAUUUUGAAUUGAUCCAAUCCAGAAAGAUUCGAUCCAAAAUCAACCCGACUUGCCGAAUAGACCUGACCUUUUUAGUUUACUCAAUAAAGUGCACUAGUAAAAGAAGCAUUUCCUUCUGAUUAAAUUUGUCAGUCAAGAUAGGUAGAAUUAAAAGGAAAAGCAAAUCAAGUUCAAUAGCUUACAUCACCUUUCCAAAUCCGGAAGCACUUCUGGUUAAUAGGCGAGCCGGUUAUUGUCUGAAUAACAUCGAACAACAUAUUCUGAGGUGUGCUUCUAAGCUCUUGGACAAUCCCAUAAAUGGUCUUCCCAUUCUCAAAGUAUAUGUGAUUAUUUGGAUGCUUUGUUUUGCAACCAGCAUGCCGCUCAAAUUCAUAUGCAUUGAUCACCUAUGAGAACGUAGAAACUCUGCUCAUCAGCACACACAUAAGUGCGUACACAAUUCUCUCAAAAAAGAAAAAAAAGGUAAAACCGAGAAACCACACCUUAGAAAAAUUGCAUGUCUGACAGCCACAUUGAUAUCCCGAACUCUUUAUAACACCGUGGAGCUCCUUCUGAAGUUCAUAUAAAGAAGCAGGCGUAUCACCGGACAAUAAGGUAAAUAAAAAGAACACAAGUAAUGAGAUUUUACCUCCUGUGACCAUGCAAUAUAUUUAACGGGAACUCCAUCAAGCAUACCAGUUGACAGCAAACUUCUAACAUUUGAUGGGAAGUUAUUUGAAGUAAGUUUUUUGGAUGUUUUCUGCUCAUCUUUCUUCCUAGGAACUUCAGCUCCAGAGGCAAUAAUAUUAUUGGAUAUAGACACUUUUUCACUAGAAGCAUUGGAUCUUUGGACAGAAGACUGACCCAUCAAUAAAUUAUAGCCUGAUACAAUCCUUCCUGGCGGAUUUGUAUCAUCAUCAUCAUUAGAGCCACCAAAUGAUAUAAUAGUACUCUCACCCCUACUAUAGGACUGACCAAUUGACAAAUUAUAGUUGUCACCCUUCUUGUAGCUUUGACUGAUAGAUAUGGUACUGUCAUCUCCUUUACCAUAGGUCUGACACACAGUUACAGAACUAUCAUCUGUCAUGUAUGUUUGACCCAUGGAUAUGAAAGUGUUUUCACCCUUAUUGAAGGUAUUGCUCAUUGCAAGUGCAUUAUUAUCCUCACUUUUGUUAUAGGAUUGUCCCAUAGACAUGAAAACAUUAUUCUCCCUUUCAUAGGUGUCACCAAUAGGAUCCCCUUUGUUAUAAGAAGAACCCAUCGGCAUAAUACCAUCUUCCACCUUGUUGUAUGCAUGAUCAUUUGACACAGAGGUAUUAUCAACCCCAUUAAACACAUAUCCCAUUGAUGCAGACAUGAUAUUCUCCGAAUCCUUAACCUCGCUGACUUUUACCUUCCUAAUCCCACCAAGGUUUAACCCAGAUCUAGGAUCUUCUAGUGUAUGAGACAUAGAUAAACAGAAUGAAGAAUCAUUUGUAAAUAUAUCUUCAUUAAGCUUUCUCCCCAUGACAACUUUCUCACUGCUAACUGAUGGCAUGCUUCGAUCAUCAAAAUUCACAGCUCGAGCUGAUUCGGUGUCGAAUAACCGUUCAGCAAACUGCCCCGAGAUUGAAUGAAAACCAGAUGCAUUUCCCCAUGGAGACAGGUUUGAAUUCAAGAUUCCAGAAAAAAAGUUGGUAGUUGAAACUCCAACCGCCUGCUUCUUGUUAGGAAAUAUAUCUGUCUCGGAACCAUCCAUAAACCAUUGAUGAGAACGCUUGGGCUCAAUUCUAGAUGAAGUAUCAUACACCAUCUCACCAUCGUUUAAACACCCAGCUCCUUUCGUCAUCCAAAUGCCUUGAUUCUGGAAAGACUGUUACAUGUAACAAAUUCCUAAUCAGAGGCGUAGAAGAGAAUAACAACAACAGUUGAAUCUUUUUCAUUGACCUAGUAUCAAGAUUAACCGCAAGCCAUAAAUAUUUAUAACAUAAUUAAUGGACAACUUCAAUAAGGUGAACUUUGUUUUUGCACCUAUCAAAAGCUUGACUAGGCACACCAAGCAUGCACUUGAAGAAGGAUUGAAAUAACUUUUGUUCUCUAGUGCUAAUAUACAGCGCCUAAGGACGCACCUUGGUCUUUGACAACCUCAGCACUUCAGCACCAACACACACAACUUACCAAGUAGAAAAUUGUCAAACUGACAUUUUUCUUCACUCAUAUAUACAUACUUAUAUAUGGUUCAUCAGUGCAUCCCCACCUAAAUUACUCUAUUACAACUGUUUGGCAAUAAAAGACACAAUCAUCUAUAGUUCUUUUUUUUUUUUUACCAAAAAGCAUAAUUUUUCAGUUGAUACAGAAUUUUAACCUUCUUUAACUAUGUGAAACUACAUAAGGGACAAGGCAAUAAGCAAUUGCAGAACAAUUAACGAUAAAAAUUAAAACCACUGAAUCAAUCACAAAAGAUACACAUAAAACUGAAAAACAGCAUCGAAAGCAACCAUUAGACCCUUCUCCCACCACUUAAAGCACAUAAAAACAUACCAUUUUUCUAGCUUUAUUUCAAAGUUCUAUUUGGAUGAAUCCUCGCUUCCACUUUGCUGUAACAGUCCAACAAUUAAAACUCUAUCAUAUUGCAUUAAACAAGGAUCAAAUUUACAACUUUACCACUAAACAGCAAAGUUCUAUAACUCCUGGCUGAAGCAGAGACUGUAAAACUUCGUGAGAAUUGAAGCCUUUAAUCGCUAAAGUAAUUAUCUGCAAAAUUCAGGGAAUAAAUCACUUGAAAAACUCUGAGAACAAAUAAUAGUGACUCCAAGGCUGAGGUAUUGUAUCUUUCACUCGAAAUUAUGCAAAUCCAUUCCCUUAAACAUAUUUUAAAACAUAUAUAUUGUUGUAAUUGCUGUUAUCCUUUGUCUUCCUCUUUGCAGCCAAACACAAUCAAAAUUAACCAACAAGAUCAGGCAGCAGGGGAUGCAGCAAAUGCUCCAAAAUCAGGUUGCUGCGGUUGAGCUACGAUCGAUGAUGAGCUCUGAAGGGUAUAUUUUCUUCUCUAGUGAGCUCUUUGAAUUUGGGAAAACUGUAACUACAUUCUUCCAGUUUGUAAUUUCUUCUUAUCUAUUUUGCAUCUAUUACUCUUUCGGUCUGAAAUGUUAGAUCCCUGAUAUCCUGCGAAAUUAAUUAUUUUUGCAAGUUGCCUCUACCAUUUUGACAUUUGGAGUUGAAGCUAAGAACCGCUCGGUGCCAUCCAUUAAUUGGAGCAUAAUUAGAGAUGACAAUAGGACAGAUUUGGAACAAAGUCAUUUUGGAGUUUUUCGAGUUUGGUGUGUGGGCUAGGAUUUGGGGCCAGCUCGGUAUUUUCUUCGUAAUUUUCAAACUUUUAUAAAAGAUGUAAGCAUUCUAACAUGUUCUUGUUAGAGUUCAAUUGAGCUCAGGUUUAAAUCAUUUUUUUUUAUCAAAUUUCAGUUCAUGGGUUGAGACUUGAGAUGUGGCCAUGGUCAAUACCAAAAAAUUAAGUCUGAACUCAACUCCCGAUGAUUUUUUUAGUUCAUAUAUUAUAAAAUAUUAUAUUUAUAUCAAUUCAGUAUAAUAGUUUAUAAUGAAGUUCAAAUAAAAAUAUAUUAUUGAAUGUUAAUUUAAGUCAAAAAAAGAAAAAUUAUCUUUGUCCAAGCUGGCCAAGUAAUUCGCUCAAACCAGUACACGAAAUUAAUCAAGCCCUAAAAGAACAGUACUUAAAAGAAGCAAACAACACAUAAAGACGGGUAGUUUCCUCCGUUCCUCCUUUAGUUCACCAAAGGUGCAAUACCAAAAACAAACAAAAAAAAAAGUCUGAACCGAUGAUUUUUUUUGUUCAUAUAUUAUAAAAUAUUAAAUAUUAUAUCUUACCAAUUCAAUAUAAUACUUCAUAAUAAAGUUCAAAUAAAAAAUUUAUUAUUGAAUUUAAAUUCAAGUCACAAAAGGAAAAUUAUCUUUGUCCAAGCUGGCCAAGUAAUUCGCUCAAACCAGUACACAUAAUUAAUCAAACCCUAAUAAAAGUACUUCAAAGAAGCAAACAACGCAUAAAGACAGGUAGUUUCCUCCGUUCCUCCUUUAGUCCACCAAAGGUGCAAAAUUUAGAUUUCAUCUCUAUCUCUUGAAUUAAUAUCCGACUACAUGUUUGCAGAGAUACAAGCAAAUACACAAAUAACAAGUAUCUCUCUUUCAGGCAUUAACUCCCUACUUUUUAACAUAAUCCCUACCCCCGUAAAU